Molecule: long non-coding RNA, 2560 nt
Filed under: Homo sapiens (human)
Lineage: Eukaryota; Metazoa; Chordata; Mammalia; Primates; Hominidae
Description: HSALNT0121672
Source: RNAcentral
AACCACCAGAAUAUCCCACAAGGCCUUCUGCUAUGUAAGAGCACUCUGUUUUUAGAUUAUUUGGAAAUGCUGCUUUCUGAACCAAGGGAACCCAGAUACUAGAACUAAAACAAUUAGGGAAAAGAGAAGGAGGAAGAAAACCCAGUAAAUGGUCAUUUUGGAACCAAAGGCCUCAAUCAACUUUCAAAUGAUUCAGAAAUGCCUGGACUUCUUCCCAAGAAGUAACCAUGUAGUACAUGUAAAAAAAAUUCAAUAUUGAAAGAAAUACUCAUUUACAACCACUAUAUAAAAACAUAUAUUGAAAAAAACCCAGACUAACUCAACCUGAAGAAAUAUGCCCUCAACAUUCUUCCUGACCAAUAUAUAUUUCAAAAUUGUUUAUCAUGACUCAGUUCUAACCCAAUCAGGAAACAUCUGCUUCAACAAUUUAUCUUCCUAUUGCCUCAGAAGAUUAUUGAAAAAUACCCCCCAAGGAAUGCGGAACAGAUUGUUGUAAUCAUUUUUCUCACCUGGAUCCCCUUGGGUAAUAAGUUCCAUUGGUGACUUGAAGACAUGGUGGUUUAGCACGUAGAUUCCAUUGGACUGAUAAGAGAGCAGCAAUCUUGAUUUGCAUCCACUUUUGCCUGUCCACAAAGAUCCCCCCACAACCUGUUCCCAAAUCGCUGCUUGGAGGGAAAAAGCCCGACAGAAAAGCCUGGGGGCAGUUCUGUGUGUAUUUUUUUUAAAUCAGUGAAUUGCUGCCUCCCUCGUGUCCUAAUAGAGUCCAAAGGUUCUGCCCUCUGUGGGAGCAGCUCCAAGGCAUGGGCUGAGUGCUGCUGUUCACGAGUCCUGUGGACUCGCGUGGACACUGGCAGCAGCUCAGCUAGAGCCUUGGAAAGAUGGGCAAAUGCUCUGUGACAAGCCACCAGGGUAGACUGGUACUGAAAAGACCCUACUACACACAGGGGCUCUGUCCCUGGCUGGAAAGUUACAAGUCAGCCUACCUCUCUGUGAUCUGGUUUCCACACCUACUACUCUUUAUCCCAUGAGGAGCUUCUGGAAACUAAAAUAGCAGCUGCCCAGGUAGAAGAGUGUUGACCAAAGGACACAUCACCAGCACAGACUGUUAAUCAUGUGACUAGAGAAAACUCUCAUGGUGGCAUUCAAAUUUCCAUAUCCUUCUUCUAUGGAAAUUUCUGAGAGACCCAGAAAAGAAGCGUAACGACGAGGGAAAGUGAUUCCUGCAGACCUGAACAUUCCAGACUUACCAGGUGAUCCAGCUGUCUGUCAGCGGGAAGAGGCUGAGGCGCCCCCUUCUGGUGCAUCUGAAUAGUAAGAAACCCUGUGUAGAAAGAAACCCUGUAGCAAUUGGGCACCUUCUCCGUGAUCUGUCUGCUUCCAAUACCAAAAAUUGUUGCUUUUUAAAUGACAUCCAUCCUAAGCUUAAAAAAGACGCAUAUUAUUUGUAUAAAAUGUUGAAGACGCAGAACAAAAAAUGUAAAUCACAUGUAAUCAUCCCUUCCAGAAAUAAUCGUUAUUAAAAUUUCUGUGUAUGUGUAAAAAAAAAAAUUGCAAUCCUACUGUAAUAUAAUCCUGUAUACUGAUAUUUUUCACCUAUCACUGUAUGUUGAGCAUUUUCAAUAGUCAAAUUAUUUCUUGAAAAUAUUAAUGACUGGGGAGUAACCUUUCAAAUAGGUGUGUCUUUAUUUUUAAACCAGUCCACAAUUAUUGUAUAUUGAAGUCAUUUCCCAAAUUUUGUAAGUAUAAGUAUUGCAUCCAUCCUUAUAUGUAUUUAAAUGCAUCUCUUAUUAUUUCCUUGAGAUAAGUUCCUAGAAGUGGAAUCACUGGAUUUAAAAAUGUGGACAUAUUUAUGCCAGACGCGGUGGGUCAUGCCUGUAAUCCCAGCACUUUGGGAGACUGAAGCAGGUGGAUCACUUGAGGUCAGGAGUUCAAGACCAGCCUGGCCAACAUAGUGAAACCCCAUCUCUACUAAAAUUACAAAAAUUAGCCGGGUGUGGUAGUGCACGCCUGUAAUCCCAGCUACUCAGGAGGCUGAGGCAUAAGAAUCACUUGAACUCAGGAGGCGGAGGUUGCAGUGAGCCAAGAUGGCACCACUGCGCUCCAGUCUGGGCGACAGAGUAAGACUUCAUCUCAAAAAUAAAUAAAUAAAAUUAAAAUUAAAUAAGAUAAAUAAAAAAUAAAAAUGUGGACAUAUUUAAAUCUUCAUAUAUAUUACCAAAUGCCCUCCUGAAAGUUUUUACCUGUUACAUUCCAACCAAUAGUGUAAGGGCAUGACUCUUUCCCUGUGUUUUGGGAUGGAUGUUAUCAAAGUUCUCUCCCACCCAGGCCAAGUAUGGUAUAUGCUUUGAUUUAAUUUGAAUUUUUAAAUUAUUAUUUAAAAUGGACAUUUUGUUGUCCAUUUGAACAACUUUCUUUUGAGUCACUGUUCAUGUUCUUUGCCCAUUGUUUCUCUUUUAUUAGUAAGAACCCUAUUGUCAUUUUUAUAUUUUAAAUAAAAUUUCAUUGUAUAUACAUUUAUAUUAUCUAUAGUAAAGUAUAUUUUAUUAUUAAUGAGAACUUU